This 253-nucleotide ribosomal RNA is filed under the name uncultured bacterium. RNAcentral describes it as "partial 16S ribosomal RNA". It matches the Rfam family "Bacterial small subunit ribosomal RNA", at positions 524 to 776 of the family's 1533-position model. The record is from RNAcentral.
UACAGAGGGGGCAAGCGUUGUUCGGAAUUACUGGGCGUAAAGGGCGCGUAGGCGGCCUUCUAAGUCGAACGUGAAAUCCCCGGGCUCAACCCGGGAACUGCGUCCGAUACUGGAAGGCUUGAAUCCGGGAGAGGGAUGUGGAAUUCCAGGUGUAGCGGUGAAAUGCGUAGAUAUCUGGAGGAACACCGGUGGCGAAGGCGACAUCCUGGACCGGCAUUGACGCUGAGGCGCGAAAGCCAGGGGAGCGAACGGG